GGAGAGGUGUCCGAGUGGCCGAAGGACCACGACCGGAAAUCGUGUAGCCACCCACAAGGUGGCUCGUGGGUUCGAAUCCCACCCUCUCCG
RNAcentral lists this transfer RNA (90 nucleotides) under Candidatus Aquivivens invisus. RNAcentral describes it as "Omnitrophica WOR_2 bacterium GWA2_63_20 tRNA-Ser". It matches the Rfam family "tRNA". From Rfam's summary of the family: Transfer RNA (tRNA) molecules are approximately 80 nucleotides in length. Lineage: Bacteria; Pseudomonadati; Candidatus Omnitrophota. RNAcentral also lists the same sequence under 6 other names. The record is from RNAcentral.